GAAUCGCUUGAACCUGGAAGGCAGAGGUUUCAGUGAGCUGAGAUCGCACCAUUGCACUCCAGCCUGGGGGACAAAGCGAGACUCCGUCUCAAAAAAAAAAAAAAGAAAAGAAGAAAGAAAGUCAAGCCCCCUUAGAUUAAGUCAUUCCUUUAUUGAGUCCCUACAGAAUGUUCUUGGGUCUGUCACCUUCUAGCUGUGCAGCUU
Molecule: long non-coding RNA, 204 nt
Filed under: Homo sapiens (human)
Lineage: Eukaryota; Metazoa; Chordata; Mammalia; Primates; Hominidae
Description: non-protein coding lnc-ERGIC1-3:1
Source: RNAcentral